UACGGAUGGGGCGAGCGUUGUUCGGAAUCAUUGGGCGUAAAGGGAGCGUAGGUGGCUCAUUAAGUGGAGUUUGUCAGCGUCGGGCUCAACCUGACGAUUGAUUCCAAACUGGUGAGCUUGAGUCCGCUAGAGGGCACUGGAAUUCCGGGUGUAGGGGUGAAAUCUAUAGAUAUCCGGAGGAACACCGAUGGCGAAGGCAGGUGCCUGGGGCUGGACUGACACUGAUGCUCGAAAGCCAGGGGAGCAAACGGG
Molecule: ribosomal RNA, 252 nt
Filed under: uncultured bacterium
Lineage: Bacteria
Description: partial 16S ribosomal RNA
Rfam family: Bacterial small subunit ribosomal RNA
Source: RNAcentral